Molecule: ribosomal RNA, 740 nt
Filed under: uncultured archaeon
Lineage: Archaea
Description: partial 16S ribosomal RNA
Rfam family: Archaeal small subunit ribosomal RNA
Source: RNAcentral
GUCCUUCUCUCACUGCACUGGAUCUCUGAGGGGGGUAGCUUGCUGGAGGAUAGGCGUAAACUGGGGAUAAUACAACAUAAAAAAGGAGUACUGGAAUGUCUCCUAACUGAAAGUUGCGGCGCCAUAGGAUGAAUCUGCGGCCGAUUAGGUAGUUGUUGGGGUAACGGCCCAACAAGCCCGUAAUCGGUACGGGUUGUGGGAGCAAGAGCCCGGAGAUGGAAUCUGAGACACGAUUCCCCCCCUAAACAAAAAAACAAAAGGCGCGAAAACUUUACAAUGCAGGUUCUCUCUCUCUUUAGGGAACCCCGAGGGCGCGCUCCCCCCCGGCUGUCCCGGUGUUUAAACACAUCGGAAGAAAGGGCCGGGGGGGACCGGUUCUCUGCCUUCUUCGUUAAUACCGGCGGCUCGAGUGGUGACCACUUUUAUUGAGCUUAAAGCGUUCGUAGCUUGAUUUUUAAGUCUCUUGGGAAUCUCACGGCUUAACUGUGAGGCGUCUAAGAGAUACUGGGAAUCUAGGACCGGGAGAGUUAGAGGUACUUCAGGGGUAGAAGUGAAUUUCUGUAAUCCUUGGAGGACCACCGAAUGGCGAACGCUCUUACAGACAGCUUCGACAGUGAGACGAAGCUAGGCGUACGACCGGGCUAGAUACCCGGUAGUCCAACCGUACUUAGCCGUAGGUGCCUGUACUACGAGUCGGAGGCGAUGAACCUGGAACGGCCCUGGGAGACAGGCCAAGUUGC